CCUACGGGUGGCAGCAGUGGGGAAUAUUGCGCAAUGGGCGAAAGCCUGACGCAGCGACGCCGCGUGAGGGAUGAAGGUCUUCGGAUCGUAAACCUCUGUCAGCAGGGAAGAACGGUCACUGUGCUAAUCAGCAGUGAAUUGACGGUACCUGAAGAAGAAGCCCCGGCUAACUACGUGCCAGCAGCCGCGGUAAUACGUAGGGGGCAAGCGUUCUCCGGAUUUACUGGGUGUAAAGGGGGCGCAGACGGCGAUGCAAGCCAGGAGUGAAAGCCCGGGGCCCAACCCCGGGACUGCUCUUGGAACUGCGUGGCUGGAGUGCAGGAGGGGCAGGCGGAAUGGCUGGUGUAGCGGUGAAAUGCGUAGAUAUCAGGAGGAACACCGGUGGCGAAGGCGGCCUGCUGGACUGCAACUGACGUUGAGGCCCGAAAGCGUGGGGAGCAAACAGGAUUAGAUACCCCAGUAGUC
RNAcentral lists this ribosomal RNA (465 nucleotides) under uncultured bacterium. RNAcentral describes it as "partial 16S ribosomal RNA". It matches the Rfam family "Bacterial small subunit ribosomal RNA", at positions 338 to 795 of the family's 1533-position model. The record is from RNAcentral.